GCCCUACGGGACGCAGCAGUGGGGAAUAUUGGGCAAUGGGCGCAAGCCUGACCCAGCAACGCCGCGUGAAGGAAGAAGGCUUUCGGGUUGUAAACUUCUUUUCUCAGGGACGAAGCAAGUGACGGUACCUGAGGAAUAAGCCACGGCUAACUACGUGCCAGCAGCCGCGGUAAUACGUAGGUGGCAAGCGUUAUCCGGAUUUACUGGGUGUAAAGGGCGUGUAGGCGGUACUGCAAGUCAGAUGUUAAAAUUAUGGGC
This 258-nucleotide ribosomal RNA is filed under the name uncultured bacterium. Its description in RNAcentral is "partial 16S ribosomal RNA". It matches the Rfam family "Bacterial small subunit ribosomal RNA", at positions 335 to 608 of the family's 1533-position model. The record is from RNAcentral.